UUCUGUGCUCAUACCAUCCUGAAUCCACCUUACUUCACUUGAUCUGAGAAGAAAUAUAAAGCAGGGUCUGGUUAAUACUUGGGUGAAAGAAUGCCUAGAAAUACUAAGU
Molecule: ribosomal RNA, 109 nt
Filed under: Notamacropus eugenii (tammar wallaby)
Lineage: Eukaryota; Metazoa; Chordata; Mammalia; Diprotodontia; Macropodidae
Source: RNAcentral